Molecule: ribosomal RNA, 465 nt
Filed under: Vreelandella stevensii
Lineage: Bacteria; Pseudomonadati; Pseudomonadota; Gammaproteobacteria; Oceanospirillales; Halomonadaceae
Description: partial 16S ribosomal RNA
Rfam family: Bacterial small subunit ribosomal RNA
Source: RNAcentral
CCUACGGGAGGCUGCAGUGGGGAAUAUUGGACAAUGGGGGCAACCCUGAUCCAGCCAUGCCGCGUGUGUGAAGAAGGCCGUCGGGUUGUAAAGCACUUUCAGUGAGGAAGAACGCCUGGUGGUUAAUACCCAUCAGGAAAGACAUCACUCACAGAAGAAGCACCGGCUAACUCCGUGCCAGCAGCCGCGGUAAUACGGAGGGUGCGAGCGUUAAUCGGAAUUACUGGGCGUAAAGCGCGCGUAGGUGGCUUGAUAAGCCGGUUGUGAAAGCCCCGGGCUCAACCUGGGAACGGCAUCCGGAACUGUCAAGCUAGAGUGCAGGAGAGGAAGGUAGAAUUCCCGGUGUAGCGGUGAAAUGCGUAGAGAUCGGGAGGAAUACCAGUGGCGAAGGCGGCCUUCUGGACUGACACUGACACUGAGGUGCGAAAGCGUGGGUAGCAAACAGGAUUAGAUACCCUGGUAGUC